RNAcentral lists this unclassified non-coding RNA (224 nucleotides) under Hevea brasiliensis (rubber tree). The record is from RNAcentral. Lineage: Eukaryota; Viridiplantae; Streptophyta; Magnoliopsida; Malpighiales; Euphorbiaceae.
CUCCUCCUGCUCUACUGAAGCAAAUCCCUGCCUCUCCUCCUUCACACCACUUCCAGGCGAUCCAACCUUUGUCAUCUCUUCCUCCUUUCGGUUUCGCGAACAACAUACUACAACAGUUGCAUCAUUCAAUUGGUGGUGGUGGUGGUUUUCUGUAGAGAUAUGGGGAUAUUUGAACCCUACAGAGUAAUUGGAUGCAUAACAAGCAGUGUACCCUUCUCCGUCCA